This is a long non-coding RNA of Macaca mulatta (Rhesus monkey), 928 nucleotides long. RefSeq lists it as uncharacterized. NCBI's taxonomy places the organism in Eukaryota, Metazoa, Chordata, Mammalia, Primates, Cercopithecidae. The record is from RefSeq and is a predicted model, not a curated record.
AGAGAUGAGGAGAGUUUUGGCCAAGGAAAGUCUUAUUUUACAUUCUUUUCUAGGAGUGAGUGUUUGGUUUCUGCUCUGGAGGUGCUUGAGAAGGGCAAUAGAUCUUAUCUCCAAGUCUUAUUUUCUAAAGAGGUUCCAAGCCAUCCAUACGCAUGAUGUGAGUAGGAAUCUUUCUCAGAUACUAAGUGGAAACUGAUAUUCACAAGCAACGUUCUAAGUUUGCCAAAUGGCAAAGCCUGUGGGACAGGGGGCAUGAGAACUAACCACACCUCUCUAAACAGCUCCAGCAUCCCAGCAGCCAUUUCCUGCUGACCGCUGAGCAGGAAGAGCACGUGACCCUGGCUGGAGCCGGCAAGAGGGUGGAGAUGAUCAGAAAUCCUUUCACUGUCAAAUUCAGAGAAGAAACAUGCUGAGAAGAGGCAUUUCCUAUGCCAGGGCUACCUGUGCCUUGAGGAAUACAUGUAGGAGACACUAUUUGAAAAGGAUCUUGCAGGUGUGAUGAAGGCAAGGAUUUUAAGACGAGAUCAUCCUAAAUGUGGAUGGGUGAGUCCUACACCUGAUGACUGGUGUGCUUCUAAGGGAAACAAAAGGGAAAUGUAACACAGGGACACCUGGAAGGUCAUGUGAAGGUGAAGGCUGACAUUGGAGUUAUGUUGCCACAAGCCAAGGAAUGACAGGGUUGCUAGCAACCACAAGAACUGAGAAGCCAGCCAUGGAACGAAUUCUUCCUCAGCCUCCAGAAGGAACUCACCCUGCUGACACUUUGAUUUCAGACUCUGGCCUCCAGAACUGUGAAAGAACAACUGUGUGCUGUUUUAAGCCAUCCAGUUUGUGGUAAUGUGUUACAACAAUCCAAGGAAACUAAUAGAAACCCCACGCCUUGGGUCUGAGCAUAGAAGUAAAUUGGAAAUGACUUACAUUGCCUUGA